ACAGAGCCUGCUGCUACCCAGCCAUGAAUCCGCUGUGAGUGAUGUCCCGUCAUGUGUAAAGACCCGGAAGAUAACUUUACUGGAGUUAGAGAGAUUGGUGAAAGUGAAAUGCACUCCGAGGACCCAGAAAAAGAAGUGAUUGAAGAAUAUUAAGAAACGCACCCAGCGAAUUUCAGUUCAGACAACGACGAAACAGCAGAUGACCAAAGCAUUCGUCUUUUCCUGGACAUCUCCUGUUGUGUGGAUGACUAUGUGGAUGAAGAGGGGGAAAUCCUUGCUGAGGAGCAGAGUGAAGGCUAUCCUCACAUACAAGAUGGGGAGGAGCAUGGAAAUGAUCAGGCCAGAAGUGAAAAACCAGAACACUUGUUAAUAAAACUUUUGGGCAUGAUGAAAUUGACUGGUAUCCUCCGUGACGACUUCUUACAGUAUGUGGGUUGUCCAAAAUGUAUGACAGUGUACAUGCUUACUGAAACCUAUGAGCUCAGACGGGAUGGUACAAAGGUUUGCAGGACUUGUGGUCACAUCCCAUUCUACAAUCACCCACAGCAGAGGUCUGCAUUAAGGAAGAAAUGUGGCUCUGCCUUGCUAAGCAAGGCUACAUAUUUAAGCAGUGAAGAGUAUGUCCAUCCAAUACGUUCUUACUGAUACAAGAGUGUUGCGCAGUCUCUGGGAGGACUUGUUAAAAGACUUGGAUUUGAAGAGAAAUUAGAUGAAAGGCGAAAGCGGGAAAUGCCAAAGGGUGUGUUAGGAGAUGUAUAUGAUGGACAAGUAUGGCAGGAUUACCAGUAUGUGAAUUCAAUAACUGUAGUCAUGCCACUAUGCACAGUAUUUGAGCUGUGAUGUAAUUGCACAAGUUUCCUUGCUUCAUUCCCUUCCAGACAGACAUUUUGUUGUUUGACAUGUUGUUUGCAUAGAAUGCACAAAUUGAGCCUGAUUAAAACUCUGUUAAAACAAUUAAAAUUGUUGAAAUAAA
This is a long non-coding RNA of Paramisgurnus dabryanus, 973 nucleotides long. RefSeq lists it as uncharacterized. NCBI's taxonomy places the organism in Eukaryota, Metazoa, Chordata, Actinopteri, Cypriniformes, Cobitidae. The record is from RefSeq and is a predicted model, not a curated record.